Molecule: transfer RNA, 85 nt
Filed under: Felis catus (domestic cat)
Lineage: Eukaryota; Metazoa; Chordata; Mammalia; Carnivora; Felidae
Rfam family: tRNA
About the family: Transfer RNA (tRNA) molecules are approximately 80 nucleotides in length. Their secondary structure includes four short double-helical elements and three loops (D, anti-codon, and T loops).
Source: Rfam by way of RNAcentral
GCCUGGGUGGCUCAGUCGGUUGAGCGUCCGACUUUAGCUCAGGUCAUGAUCUCGCGCUCCGUGAGUUCAAGCCCCGCAUCAGGCU